CAAGGAAGAGAAGAAGAAGCAGAGCCGGUCUGGAAGAAGCGCGGGAAAGAAAGUGAGAGAACCUGGAGAAGGAGGAGGAGGAGGAGAGGCUGAGAAGACGGCGGGGCAGAGUCGAAGUGAGCAGCAUCGCCUACAAACUAUAGAAAAGAGCGGGAGAGCCAGUUCGCCGGCUGGUUGAGACCUGUUGCAGGCUCGGAAAGCAAAGCUGUCUGCCGGUGCUGAAGACAGAGCUGGUGGCCCAAUGAACUGUAUUAAAAAACACAGCAAAUCCCAAAAACACAAAGAGAAAGAAUCCUGUGAACGUGUGUUUUCCGAGGUAAAUCUAAUGAAAACAAAACCACCAAACCGACUUAUCACAGGCGCCCUUAAUGGGCUCAUGCACACAUCAGAGAGUGUGAAGAUGGCAGGUGGAUGUGCCGGUUUGAAGCCAACAACCACAAUGCUGCGGUCCAUGACAACAUGAGAUGUAAACAGUAAGAGGACUGCCCCCACCCAGCAGGGUGCAGCAGACUCAGACAGGGACUCACAGCUGGAGACUGAACCUGAAGAAAACUGCCAAAGGCGGAGACGUGACGUGACGCAGCCCGGACAGCUGAUGGAGACCGAGGCGAUCAGGGCUACACACCACUUAGUGUUUGUCCACAUUAGAUGUUGGACUUUUGCUUCACUCGGAACAAACACAUGUAGCCCUUGGCCUGUUGUCUGCUGUGCUUCCCUCUUUUCCAGGUUAUUAUACAGCAGGUUAUAUAUGCACUUUAUUUGAAGUUAUAUGCUGUUAAGUGCUGUUUUUGUUGAUUUUCUGAGUUGUUGUCAUUUUUGAGGACAGAGACAUGUUGUUGCUCUGAAAAUAAAAUGUAACAUGUGAAGCCAGAUCUUUAUUUUCUUGUCAGUUAUCAUGAAUACUGUUUCUCUUUGUCUCUCUGCCUGUUAGACGCUGUUCAACACUAGAGUGACUGUAGCGCAUCAAUACACUUGUUAUUUUGGUUAUGACGGCUGUCCGAUCAUUUCCCUCCAAAUACGAUCAUUUGAUGUCUGUGGUACGAUAAUCCUACAUUUCCCAGCUGGCAACGCGGGUUCAGUGAGUUGUUGAGUUGGAGCCACUUUAUAAACUGUGUGAAACUC
Long non-coding RNA from Acanthopagrus latus (yellowfin seabream), 1122 nucleotides. RefSeq lists it as uncharacterized. The record is from RefSeq and is a predicted model, not a curated record. The transcript has 2 exons. Lineage: Eukaryota; Metazoa; Chordata; Actinopteri; Spariformes; Sparidae.